This 515-nucleotide ribosomal RNA is filed under the name uncultured bacterium. RNAcentral's name for it is "bacterial SSU rRNA". It matches the Rfam family "Bacterial small subunit ribosomal RNA", at positions 8 to 518 of the family's 1533-position model. The record is from RNAcentral.
AGAGUUUGAUCCUGGCUCAGGAUGAACGCUAGCGGCAGGCUUAACACAUGCAAGUCGAGGGGCAACGCGAGUAGCAAUACUUGGCGGCGACCGGCGCAAGGGUGCGUAACGCGUGAGCAACAUGCCCGUAUCAGGGGGAUAAUCCAGGGAAACUUGGUCUAAUACCCCAUAGUAAUUUUGUAAGGCAUCUUAUAAGAUUUAAAGCUUUGGUGGAUACGGAUUGGCUCGCGUGACAUUAGCUGGAUGGUAAGGUAACGGCUUACCAUGGCUAUGAUGUCUAGGGGUUCUGAGAGGAAGGUCCCCCACACUGGAACUGAGACACGGUCCAGACUCCUACGGGAGGCAGCAGUGAGGAAUAUUGGACAAUGGAUGGAAAUCUGAUCCAGCCAUGCCGCGUGAAGGAAGAAGGUCCUAUGGAUUGUAAACUUCUUUUGUAUGGGAGCAAUAAGGCCUACGAGUAGGUUGAUGAGAGUACCAUACGAAUAAGCACCGGCUAACUCCGUGCCAGCCGCUGC